AUUAGCCCAAACCAAUAAAGUUUUCUUUGUUGGGGUUGCGGACAUAUCAUAACGAAGAGGUAUCGUAAUUGAAGAGGUUUGGAAAGACCCACCACAGAAGGUAAUAGUCCUGUAUGUUAAACGAGAAGACUUUAGAUAUGAUCCAGAGUACCACGGGACACGUGAAACCCUGUGGGAAGCAGGAGGGACCACCCUCCAAGGCUAAAUACUACCUAGUGACCGAUAGCGUAUAGUACCGUGAGGGAAAGGUGAAAAGAACCCCGGGAGGGGAGUGAAAUAGAACCUGAAACCCUGCACUUACAAGCUGUGGAAGCACAUUUCUUGUGUGACCGCGUACUUUUUGUAGAACGGGCCAACGAGUUACGUUAAGUAGCAAGGUUAAGCACUUAAGGUGCGGAGCCGUAGCGAAAGCGAGUUUUAACUGAGCGUUCAGUUACUUGACGUAGACCCGAAACCGGGCGACCUACCCAUGAGCAGGAUGAAGCGAAAGUAAAAUUUCGUGGAGGUCCGAACCCACGAGCGUUGAAAAGCUCGGGGAUGACUUGUGGGUAGCGGUGAAAUUCCAAUCGAGCCCGGAGAUAGCUGGUUCUCCCCGAAAUAGCUUUAGGGCUAGCCUCAAGGUGAGAGAUACGGAGGUAGAGCACUGAAUGUCCUAGGGGGUAUUGCACCUACCGAAGACUAUCAAACUCCGAAUGCCGUCAUCUUAUACUUGGGAGUCAGACUGUGGGUGAUAAGAUUCAUAGUCGAAAGGGCAACAGCCCAGAUCGUCAGCUAAGGUCCCUAAAUGUAAGUUAAGUGGUAAAGGAUGUGGGAUUGCACAGACAACCAGGAUGUUGGCUUAGAAGCAGCCACUCAUUCAAAGAGUGCGUAAUAGCUCACUGGUCGAGUGAUCCUGCGCCGAAGAUUUCCGGGGCUAAAACUUACUACCGAAGCUACGGCAUCAGUAAUGAUGGGUAGGGGAGCUUCCCAUACGGGUUGAAGCAUGACCGUAAGGACAUGUGGACAGUAUGGGAGUGAGAAUGUUGGCAUGAGUAGCGAGAUGUGGGUGAGAAUCCCACAGGCCGUAAACCCAAGG
Molecule: ribosomal RNA, 1075 nt
Filed under: Clostridioides difficile
Lineage: Bacteria; Bacillati; Bacillota; Clostridia; Peptostreptococcales; Peptostreptococcaceae
Description: partial 23S ribosomal RNA
Rfam family: Bacterial large subunit ribosomal RNA
Source: RNAcentral